CUAGCGACUUCAGAGUUUGAUCCUGGCUCAGGACGAACGCUGGCGGCGUGCUUAACACAUGCAAGUCGAGCGGAACUUAUUGGAUAGAGGCUUCGGCCAAUUGAAAAUAAGUUUAGUGGCGGACGGGUGAGUAACGCGUGAGGAACCUGCCUUUCAGAGGGGGACAACAGUUGGAAACGACUGCUAAUACCGCAUGAUGCAUAGAGAUCGCAUGGUUUUUAUGCCAAAGAUUUAUCGCUGAAAGAUGGCCUCGCGUCUGAUUAGCUAGUUGGUGAGGUAACGGCCCACCAAGGCGACGAUCAGUAGCCGGACUGAGAGGUUGACCGGCCACAUUGGGACUGAGAUACGGCCCAG
This 354-nucleotide ribosomal RNA is filed under the name uncultured bacterium. Its description in RNAcentral is "bacterial SSU rRNA". It matches the Rfam family "Bacterial small subunit ribosomal RNA", at positions 1 to 334 of the family's 1533-position model. The record is from RNAcentral.